UCAAAGAAAACUACUCAAAUUUUCAAUUCUCACUCCAUCUUUCUUCUGCUUUUUACUUCCCUCUUUCUGGUGAGUUUUCUUCUGAAUUUGCUUACUGAUUUCAACUUCUUCUAUUUGGGUUCCAUUGCAGAUUUGCAGUGUGCGAACCAAAUUCCGACUUCAAACAAAGAUUCCUAAAUUGUGUGCAGAUGGUUCAAGCAAUUGAAAGGUUUUCGGAUGCACAUUGAAUUUUUUUUCCACUUCAAGGGGAAGAAAGGAGAAAGGCCUUUAAUGGAGAAGCUAUUUGAUAGUGAUUUGUAGGUGACUCAUAUUUUAGAGGAAUCCUCGCCGGCAUCUCUUGCUCAAGGAUGGUAGAGGUGAUAACGGAAGAGCUUUUAUUAGGCAUUGGCAAUUUGGGUAUAUCAACCAAGAAAAAGAAGAAACAGAAAAGUCAAAAUAUUGACAAUGUGGAGUUGGACAUGUCGGAACAUGUAAAUAGGAAAAAGAAGUAUUGUUCCACCAGCACUAAUACACUACAAGGUGUUCUGCGCAUGUUUGUUCACUCUAAGGACUAUAUAUACAUCUAUAUUGUCAAGAAAGUGUAUGAAAACUCAACCAAGGGGGCAUCUUGCAACUGAAACACAGUAUAUAUAUCUGAAUGAGAUUGGGAUACAUUAUUUUAAAUGGGAGGCUAAAAACACAACAAUUGAAUUUCAUAGAUGUUUGGGCAACUGAUGCUCCUGAUAACUAAAACUUCUAAACCUCCCUCAGUUAAAUAUCACAAAUUCAAUUUUUUACACCCGAAAUUAGUUUUCUUGAGUGUUGGAUACUGCAUAGGUGAUUUUACCAGAUUGAGUUUCUCUUUGACAAUCAGAGAAAACUUAGUAUCGAGAUAGAUGUAGAAACAAACCAUUCAUUGUCAUAAAGACACAUGCACUAUGCAUUAUAACAUGUGUCUCCUUAUUUCAUUUGUACUGAUUCAUGUUUCCAGAACCUACACCCUGCACCAAAUCUUAGAUAGAUCAGUUUCCAAUAUCCACAUCAUUAGUUUGUUCUUCUCUGUGGGCUUCACUGGUCUAAUUGUUAAAUUUCUAGAUUUGAGUUUUAAGUUCUCUAUGGUUUGAGGCUUUGAGCUUUACUUUUUCCAGUUCAAGCUUGGUUCUGUUCAACUGUGUAGUUUCGCGCAGACAGAAUGAAAUUCAAAUAUGAGUAAGGGAUAUCCAUUAAUCCAUUCCGAGGGAAUAGUGAAUACAUUCUGAUUUCGUGGAGAAAAAAAGAAGGAUCAAAUACAUGAAGUUUAUGAACCAUGCAAUACAAUACCGAUGUUUACAGAUCACAAGGAAGGGCAGAAACAAGUACCAGCAGAGCAUCUGGUAAGGUGAUUUUCUCAUCAACUGUUGCAGCUCUGUCUUCAUCUAUUCCAGGGUAAUGUGAGGGAUCGCUUACACUGGUAUAUUAAACAACUGAAGUAGAGGUAAUAAACAACUGAAGUAGAGGUAAUACUCUGUUUCCUAUAUUUUCAUUAUUGUUGCCCCUGUUGAAAUGAAGAGGAUUAUAUGUUUCUCUUUUACAUUGAAUAAAAUAAGAAAGUAUCUAUUGACUUUAGGCUUUAGGUUGUUUAGACAUCAUUAAUUAGUUGCUCAUUAAUUAGUUGCUUUAUUAUUUUACUACCUUGCAUGAUGAAGCAAUUGUAAGGCCCCGUAAAAAAAAUUGUGCUCAAAACCUAGUAGCUUGUAGUGUCAGGUUCCGAAUAUGUG
Long non-coding RNA from Nicotiana attenuata, 1736 nucleotides. RefSeq lists it as uncharacterized. The record is from RefSeq and is a predicted model, not a curated record. NCBI's taxonomy places the organism in Eukaryota, Viridiplantae, Streptophyta, Magnoliopsida, Solanales, Solanaceae. The transcript is spliced from 4 exons.